AAAAAAACCGAAGAGCAAAUGAAAAUGAAAGGAAGCGGCUAUGAGAGCGCCACGAAGUUGAAGAAACGUUUGUUGGCAUGAUGAAAGAAUGGAUUUGUGGGUCUUGAAUCAAUCGGAAAUUGGGAAUUGAAGAGCGAGAGAGAGAGAGAGAGAGAGAGAGAGAGAGAGAGAUGGGUGAUCACUACUCGGUAUUGGGUCUGACAAGGAAUGCGAGCAAAGAAGAAAUUAAAGAGGCGUUCAGGAAGCUGGCGGUGAAGCUGCACCCAGACAAGCAUUCCCAUUCUUCUAAGGCGGUGAGGGACACCGCCACCCUCCGAUUCAAGCAGGCCUCCGAAGCCUAUCAGGUCCUCAUCGACGAUCGCAAGCGCGCCGACUACAAUUUCCGAACCUCAUCCGCUUCCUAUUCCCGAACCUCCUCCUCCUCCUCCGGUUACGGUUACGGUUAUAGUAGAAAUAACCGCAAUUAUGCUUCUGCUUCUACACCCUCCAGCUUUGACAGUCUGCUUCGCUAUGUCACCACGCGUGCCUUCCUUCUCAACGUCUCCGUCGCAGGGGCUCUAUUAGGUGGCGUGGGCGUCGUUAAUAUGGGAUGGGAUGCCUUAUGGAAGAUACGUAAUUCUGGGAAAUCAUUUGAAGAAGCGAUGGAAUCUGUUGAAAAGGCCAAAGCACAUAAAGAGAAGCUGUAGGAGGUGGUCACUGUGUUUGCCUUCGGCUAAUCAUAUUUGAAUGCCUCUAGUGGUGACUAGUGUAAGUAUUUUGUAAGUGAUAUUUCUGCAAUUGGAGCCAUUGUUGAGUUUACUGCUCAGCUAGAGAAUUUGUCUGUGGAUUCCACUAAGGUGGUGCCUUUGGAGUAUAUUUGAUACAGCAAUGGGGAGAAUAAAAGCAGUUAGCCAGAGUGCUUUUAGCUAGAUUGGUAUUCCCCUUUGAGGUUUUCUAUCAGUUUGUUAAAGAAGACCAGAAAUGGAAGAUGCUGUGACCUCUGUUUUCAGUGUUUAGUAUUCCAAUUGAAAUAAUUAUUGGAUUACUGGAAUGAGCCCGCCAUUUUCUCUGGCUCCUUUUUAUGGGCAAUGGGGGCUCUCAGGUAUAUGCCCUUCUCCAUAUCUUUAUUUUCUUCGUAUUGGUUAGCAAACAAAAAUUUCCAUGUGAUUAAUGAAUCUCAUUGUAUUACAGUUUCCCCUAAUAAUUUUGUAUUACAGUUUAAAGGUUCCAACUGAUUAAUGAAUCUCAUUGUAACUGAUUAAAGAUGAGCUAGUACUAAACAACAUUGUGAUGGCAAUAUAUGCUGCUUGGCCAAUUUAUAACAAGUUAGAUAGUUCAUACUGCUCAUAUUUUCAGUUGAAACACUAGGGAUCUGAAAAUUAAUCUGCCUUUUAUCUUAAUCUGCUUUACCUUUUUAUUUUAUUUUUUUAUCUUAAUCUUCUUUUUAUUUUAUUUUAUUUUAUUUUUUAUCUUAUCUUCUUAAUUUUUUUAAUUUUUUUAUUUGUUAAUGGUGAAUUCUAGAAUUCCACAUCAGGAUUUGUCUUGCACGCUGCUAACAUUUGGCUGUGAAUUCAUCCAUUUGGCUUUGGCUGAUGAGUUUGGAGUCGGUGCGGAAACAGAAAUUAUGUCACUUUGUAGAAGAAAAGUUAUAUCACUUGGUAAAAAGAAACCAAUUUUGUUUUUUUUGUUUUUCUUGUUUUUUUUUUUUUUCCUUCUUUAAGAAUCAUACUUGAGAGCACAAAAUUCCAAGGAGAAAACUUCAGUGGCAUGGGUAAUUUCAUUUUUACUCUCAUUUUCCGCCUUAAGUAGCGUAUGCAUUUCCAGGUAUGCCACAUUUUUAAUGAAGCCAAUUUUACUGCAGAUGGCCUUCUUGAGUUGGGACGUACUACAACCAAAAUAGAAAAAGAGGGAGGAUGGUUAUUUAUUGCAAGAUGAUUUGAUAGGCAGUGUUAGCAGCAGCAAGGAAUGCCCUGGGGACAAUAUCUCUGUG
Molecule: RNA transcript, 1969 nt
Organism: Rosa rugosa (rugosa rose)
Lineage: Eukaryota; Viridiplantae; Streptophyta; Magnoliopsida; Rosales; Rosaceae
Gene name: chaperone protein dnaJ 72
Exons: 4
Source: RefSeq, a predicted model, not a curated record